AUGACAGUUGAAAGAUAGUUUGAUUAAUUAGAUGCAGUGUUUUCCACUGAUAAACAGCAACUCGCUUUGUUUAUGCAAAACUCGUAACCCGAACCAAAGGGGAAUUUUGAAUCCCUCAAAACUUCCAUAAGCCAACUUCCAACUGAACUAAAAAUGUAACUGCCUCUGGGCCCUUGCCCAUGUAUAAAAAUAGCUUCAAUAAGCUCAAUAAUCGUAAAGAUAAGUGUCAAUUGCAGGCGAUAAGACAGGAAGAGAGAUGUUAGCAGAUAGCUAAUCAUGAUCGGUAAACAUGGAAGGAAUAUGACACAGAAAGACAGAAGGUUCAGUACAGCUGUUAUUGACAGACAGAUGGAUGGGUGUGUCACUGUGUUUGCUGGUUGUUGCUUUCACCUUUCCAGUGCUUUCACCUGUACAAAUGAACCUAGCCAAAGGUAAACAGUCCAGAUAAACCACUGUAAAUGCAGCCUGAGGUUAUGGUCCAGGAAAAAAAAGGAAGAAAUGUAGAGCUCUGCAAAGUGAGGAUUAACGGGUUCAAUGAGUUUCUACCCUCAGACCUGCUUUUAUAGAAGAAAAAUUACAACCCGCCUUAUGACUUCAGCUUUUGGCCAGUAAAUACUUUUGUUCAGGAGUGAAUAAUAAAUGUUUCAUCUCACGAAGAAUCACAUUAAAAAGAAAAAAGUUAUUUAAGUAGCUAUAAAAAAGCUGGUUAUGGGACUUCUGUGAUUUCUUAACGGUACAGCGUGUAAAAUCUAACCACUAGAUGUCAGUACAUGGCAGAUUACGGUUAACUGAAUGCUUUUUUCUUACUCCUCCCAAUUUAAGUGCAUAAUCCUGUCUAUGGUGGCCACUGUAGGACAAACAACUCGGCCAACAGUACAAUUGUAGCGAGUGUUUGCUGUCAGUUAGCUGUUUAUGCCACAUCUAUUUCUCCGAAGGAGGCUGUAAAACUUUCCGAAAAGACUCCGAUAUGCCUCGAUUGUCAUGGUUCCCUGUGUCUCCCCAGCGAUCUCGGUGUUGCUGUUGUUGCUUUCUCUCUCUGGCCUUUCUCUCUUGCUCGCCUCUGCUGGGGUUCCCACCUCUGGCCCAUGCCCUUGCAAGUAAUCACGCACCUGCAGCUCAUUGUCCUGAACUUCAGCCACUAUUUAGGCGACAGCUCAGCGUUUCUCGUCACUGGAUCGUUGUACGACACUCACCAAUGUAGCCCCGACUCUUUCCUGUGUAUCGUCGUUUCUCGUGUUUCCCUGGCUUCUAAUUUUCUUCCCCUGUACAUAGAUCUUCUUGGACCCAUCCCCGUUUCCACCCCUGGAGUUGCAAUCUUGAUUGUUUUGAGUCCUGCGCCUGAGUUCACUCGUUUGUUGUGACAUCAAUGAAUCAGUGAAGCUCACGUGUCCGUUUCAGCGAUACCAAGAUACUGACCACUGCAGACCAGGAACACCCCACAAGAACUGGAGAUUUGGAGAUGCCCAAAGCUGACCCAGCCAUCCAGCCAUCACAUUUUGGACCUUGUGCUUUUUACUGACUCUAGCACAGCAACUUUGAGGACAAAAUGGCCACUUGCUCUCUAAUAUAUCCCACUCAGGUUCCAUGAUCACUGUGCAUCUUGGUUGUGUUAUUGUUUCCCAUCUUUUAAGCUCCUGUUUUCUCUGGUUUUAAUCAUGUAACACAUGUAAUGCAGAAAUA
This is a long non-coding RNA of Haplochromis burtoni (Burton's mouthbrooder), 1680 nucleotides long. RefSeq lists it as uncharacterized. NCBI's taxonomy places the organism in Eukaryota, Metazoa, Chordata, Actinopteri, Cichliformes, Cichlidae. The record is from RefSeq and is a predicted model, not a curated record. The transcript has 3 exons.